This 3790-nucleotide ribosomal RNA is filed under the name Triticum aestivum (bread wheat). RNAcentral's name for it is "partial small subunit ribosomal RNA". The record is from RNAcentral. Lineage: Eukaryota; Viridiplantae; Streptophyta; Magnoliopsida; Poales; Poaceae.
GCUUGAGGCUAGCUCCGCUACGGGGGGUGUGGUGUGCAGGCGCUGGCGCUGCGGCGCUGCGAUGGCGGUCGUAGUGGUGGUGAUGGGCCGGUACCGGUGCGACGAGGGGAGCAAAGGCGUGCGGGAGAGGUUCGGGGCGGUGGAGGUGGUGGUGGUGAGGGUGCAGCGGCGGCGGAGGCGGUCCGGGCUCCGGGGGUCGGGGCGGAGGCGGAGGCGGAGGCGCCGCGGGCGGUCGAGGGCGGAGGCGGCGGAGUAGCGCGCGCUGCUGGAGCGGCUCCGGCGCGCGGAGCAGCUCUGGAGGUGGAGGGCGCCGCUCCGCGGGCUGCAGAUGGAGACGUGGUUCGAGUAGGCGUUGGAGACGGCGGCGCCGGCGUGGAGGCUGCGGCGCGCGCAGGAGGCGUGGCGGCUCCGGAGGCCGCGGGGGCAGCUGCAGAAGCGGAUGUUGUGGGAGCAGCGGCCGAUGACGGCGAUGCCGGCGGAGCUGCGGCGCGCGGCGGAGUAGCGGCGUUACGGGCAGGGCGGGCUGCGGAUGUGCAUGUGCGGGUAGUAGGCCCCGGAGACGCUGGCGCCGUCCCAGCCGCUGCGCGAGCGGGACGAGCUGCUAUACGAGGCCGCGCCGACGGUCGGGUCGCAGCAGUGGAUGUGGCAGGAGGAGCUCCGGCAGACGUUCUCGUCGCCGAAGCCCCUCCGGUACUUGCAGGAGCUGCUCUACGCGCGGUUCCCGACGUGCGGGUUGUAACAGUGGAUGUUGCAGUAGUAGUUGCCGUACACGUCCCUCCCGGCGCAGCUGCUACGGUCCCUCUAGAACUUGGCCGACAGCAGAAUACCCAAGGUCGGGCUGUAGCAGUCAAUGUGGUGGCACGAGUUCCCGAACACACGGCGAUCCGCCACCCUGCUGCAGUUCCACGAGAAACGACUCUACCACCUCUUCUUGACGCACGGGUUACUACAAUGGAAACUGUACGAUCAGUCUAAGAAGACAGCGCCCCCAUACCACCUCUCCCGCUAGCUUCAAGAAGUCGUUUACAGUGUCGUACCUACGUGUGGGUUGUGAUGGAACACGUUGUAACAGUAUUUGCGAUACACAUUUGUUCCAGCACACCUACUACGGAUACUGAAGAACUUGUUGUACCCGUACAUACCCACGUUAGGACUAUGGUAAUCGAUAUGAUGACACGAUUCCCCGAACACAGCACUGCCGGCUACCCUCGUACGGUUCCUCGAUAACGGGCUCUACCAGGCUUUCUUGACGGGGGGUUUACUCCAGUGUAAGUUAUGUAAGUAGACAUAGAACACGGUCUUUCCUAACUAACUCGUUCGAUAGUUCGAAUAAGUUGACUACGGCCUCAUACCUACAAGUCACCCAUAACAGUGUAUGUUGCGAGAACAGGUACCGAAGACACACGUUCCCGCACAACUAUCACGAGAACUCAACAAAUUGUUAGAAGGUACACUCGGGUUGUGGUAAUGUAUGUGAUGCAACAACUGUCCGAACACGGUAUGGCUCGUCGACCUACGACGACGUCUCGAGAACCGACUCUACUAAGUCUUCCUAACGGGAGAUUUACGCCACUGAAAGUUGCAUGAACACUCAAAGAAGACAGUUUUUCCCAAACAGCUCCUUCGUUAGCUUGAACACAUAGUUUACUACCUCGUACCAACGUGGGGAUUGGACUAGUGUAAAUUAUGAAAUGAGCUACCCUAGUGGUUCCUAACGUUGAGUCUUCUUCGCGACCUCGAUAACGUACCAAACCAGUCAUUCCCUCAUAGGGAUCUAUGCUAUUGGAUGAGAAGUCAGCAACUACAGGAGAGUUCUCUUCUAUCUUGACUUCUUCGGUAAGUCUACAAAGUACGGCACGUUCUAUACCCCUACUCUGGUUUUCGACCCUACAUAUUGUUCUAUGACAAACGGGAGACAUUUUCUACACUUUGUCUAGUCCGAUAACUUAAAAAACGAAUAUACCACAGAUUGCCAACGUACGGAUUGCUCAGCUGGAUGUAAUAUGAGUAACUUCCAGAACGGGUACUCCCAGACAACUUCCUUCGUGUUAUACAUGACUCACUCAACAUGUGCUUUCCUCAAGAUUCGUUCUCAAAUUAACUUCUGGUGGUCAUUCCAACACCAAGUGUGACACGUAUACGGAAUAAUGACUUCUCACUCUUUCUUUUAACACGUAUACGAAACUCAGUACUCCGAAAGCACGAAUAAUUUAAGACGACUCAGAGGUACCCGGAGUAAAUGUCGUUCCACCUUAGCCCACCGUACGAAAUACACACACGAAGUUCGAUGUUACUAGGUAUUUCUACCCUAUCUAGAAACUUCACACUUCUGGUUCCUUUAGUUUUCCUGCCAGACCUCCUAUUGUGUUCGUUUAUUCUAUUUUUGUACAAGUAUGAACAUUGCCGGCUUAUUUUCUAUGUCCGGUUAUUUCAAAGAAUCUUUGUGAAGAGUCAAAGUCGUCAAACUCUGAUUUAACAACUUAAUAAACUGAUAUGAAGAGACACAAAUAUUUGUAAAACCAAACAGAAGGUACUCGUUACCAUACACGUGUUAACGAAAGGAAGGUCCCGGAACAAUUGAUACGAAAAGAACAUGUAAGACUUAUAGAUAAAAAUAGAUCAAAAUUAAUACCUGAUGUACCAGGAGCUACUUAGUACAAAGACGGAUCCAAAGGGACUGACUUAUAAGUGUACAGUUUUCUCAUGACGUUCACUCCUUUUAUAUUACAGUCGACCUAGAUAAAAAUUAGAUAUUUGUCCGAUAGAUGCGCAUGGUUAAAGUAGUAGUUCUUAAACGUAUAACCACUUUGGUGUCCCGUACAACACUCUAUGGUAAGUGUCCAACCGACAACAAGCUUGUGGAUAUGGGAAGCAACAGACGUCGUUUCCCGUUUCCAAGUCUCACUUGGAGUACAAGAAAAAAACCGAAGUUUCAACCUUGGCGUCAAGCUGCCGAGUAUUCAGUAUACUACCAAGUAGUGAAUGGUCAAUACGGGUAUGACGAGAUCACAGAUGCCACUGUACUCACGUAACGUCCUGAUUGGCUUUGAUGGCAUACAUAGGAUGUUCUAAACCAAGUCAAACAACGUACAACUAACCAAGAUAAGUAGAUAAGUUUCGUAGUAUACAUUCAAGUGACCGGAGACAAAAUUUUAAUCAAGGCGUUUUGGUAAAUUUACUUCCUUUUUGUCCUACGUUCGUUCGACCAUUAUCCUUUAGUCCUAUCUGAAUGUAGUGUAAUGUAAAACGACUCGAAGAUGGAGCACCAAGUAUCCUAAUAAUACAUCGAACAGACGUUACCAAGUCUCGACCCGUUACUGUUUUUCACAAAGAUCAGUCAUCGGACGUGUAUUUGUUCGUUGAGAAGGCACACUAGGAGUCCGUAGAAACCUAAGUUCUGGAAAUGUCUUAAGACAUCAUGAAGACAAUUCUUCUAAAAAGAGAUACCUCCGAGGAACGUGGUUUACUUACUAUGGUGGUUUUAAGUAUACCUCACAAGAAAAAUGUUUGGGUUAGGAAAUAAUCUUAGUAUCGUUAUCCAAUGUAAAGUACGAAACACAAAAGAGAGAAGCCUAAGUACAUAUCGUAGGCUUUCCGGUACAUCCAUUUAUAACAUCCUAAGUCCCUCGGUACUGUUGGUAAAAAGAUAUUAGCCCUCGGUAGAGGACGUCAAAAUCUUAGAACGCAUACGACCGUUACGCUACUAGUUUGAACAACCGAAUGACCGUACUGUUUAAUGCCAAAUAUAUUCCAAUUUAUGGAAAUACUCAAUACUGACAACAAAGAAUCA